This 38-nucleotide microRNA is filed under the name Canis lupus familiaris (dog). RNAcentral describes it as "miRNA (ENSCAFG00845025897.1)". The record is from RNAcentral. Lineage: Eukaryota; Metazoa; Chordata; Mammalia; Carnivora; Canidae.
GGGCCUGGGAUUCUGCAUUUCUAACAAGUGCUCAGGUG